GAUGAACGCUGGCGGCGUGCCUAAUACAUGCAAGUCGAGCGAACAGACGAGGAGCUUGCUCCUCUGACGUUAGCGGCGGACGGGUGAGUAACACGUGGAUAACCUACCUAUAAGACUGGGAUAACUUCGGGAAACCGGAGCUAAUACCGGAUAAUAUAUUGAACCGCAUGGUUCAAUAGUGAAAGACGGUUUUGCUGUCACUUAUAGAUGGAUCCGCGCCGCAUUAGCUAGUUGGUAAGGUAACGGCUUACCAAGGCGACGAUGCGUAGCCGACCUGAGAGGGUGAUCGGGCACACUGGAACUGAGACACGGUCCAGACUCCUACGGGAGGCAGCAGUAGGGAAUCUUCCGCAAUGGGCGAAAGCCUGACGGAGCAAAGCCGCGUGAGGGAUGAAGGUCUUCGGAUUGUAAAACUCUGUUAUUAGGGAAGAAAAAAUGUGUAAGUAACUAUGCACGUCUUGACGGUACCUAAUCAGAAAGCCACGGCUAACUACGUG
RNAcentral lists this ribosomal RNA (497 nucleotides) under uncultured bacterium. RNAcentral's name for it is "partial 16S ribosomal RNA". It matches the Rfam family "Bacterial small subunit ribosomal RNA", at positions 28 to 507 of the family's 1533-position model. The record is from RNAcentral.